This 253-nucleotide ribosomal RNA is filed under the name uncultured bacterium. RNAcentral's name for it is "partial 16S ribosomal RNA". It matches the Rfam family "Bacterial small subunit ribosomal RNA", at positions 524 to 776 of the family's 1533-position model. The record is from RNAcentral.
UACGGAGGGGGCUAGCGUUGUUCGGAAUUACUGGGCGUAAAGCGCGCGUAGGCGGACCUGCAAGUCGGGGGUGAAAGCCUGUGGCUCAACCACAGAAUUGCCUUCGAUACUGUAGAGCUUGAGACCGGAAGAGGUAAGUGGAACUGCGAGUGUAGAGGUGAAAUUCGUAGAUAUUCGCAAGAACACCAGUGGCGAAGGCGGCUUACUGGUCCGGUUCUGACGCUGAGGCGCGAAAGCGUGGGGAGCAAACAGG